ACGACUGCUGAUACCGAACUAAUUGUAUAUGCGCACGAAAUUCUGUUUACACUUUACUGUCUGCAUAAAAUUCGUUGAUAUAAAAAUACAUACCUAAGUACAUACUCGUAUAACAAGUGGUUCGUCUGGCAGGUGACGAAGUUUGUUUUUUUUUUAUAAAUUUCAUUAUGUUCGUUUUUACGUAUAUAUUGUUGCUUAUGUCUUUAUCACAAAAAAGAUGACAAAAACGUUGGAUUUGUCCCUCUGUUGAUUCCAAUGUGUAAAAUGAAAUAAGUUUGAGAAAAGUAGUACAUUUCGUAAAUGGAAUUAAUAUCGUGCAGUUUCAUUCAGUUGAAUGCAUACCUGCUUUUACGGGCUCUUGUUAAUUGAGUGAAACUAAAAACUACCAAAAUAUCGUAGCUGCUCUUGCUUUUCCAUUUAUCGCCUGAUUUUCGCAUUGGAGACAGAUCUAAAAUGGAAAAAGAAUUAAUGAUGGAGGUGUUCAAAUUCAUCAUUCUCACGUGGCUCACAAGCUUUGUACCUGCAUCAUAUUGCCAAAUUGGAAACUCCAGCUCAGAAAAGAUUUGUAACAUCACAAUCUAUCAAGAAGAUGGCACUUUUCCUGGAGCUAUAGCAGACGAAUGGCAAUCAAAAAUUAUAGACAGUUGUCCUGAAAAUUACACAAAUCAAGAUAUCAUUGCAAGCUGUGAACGUUUCCAUCCCUCGGAGGAAAUUGAAUCAGAUUUAUUCAUUCCGAGAACAAACAACAUCACCAAAAUAACCUACAUAAAUAAAUAUUGCGGGUAUUGUAAUAACGAGAAUGAUACAGAUUGGGAUAAGUAUUACUGGAGAACUUGGGAAAAGUUUAGAUUUUUGGAAGACCCAUGCGAUAACUACACAUCAAAAAUAGAAGCAUCGGAUGUUGAUGACUUCGACAAAUGGAUUCAGACUUUCCUCAAUAACGGAAUGAUACUGGAGUCGAUCCCUUAUCGCAAAAAGUUGCAGUGCUUUGGGAAAAAAAAUUGGCCUUUUAAGUUGAUAAGCAAUGUGAUUCCUUGUUUAGUGAGCAAUUAUAUAUAUGGUCAGUCCAAGAGAAUGAAGUCGUGCCAAUAUUAUGAUAAAAUUGGCAGAAGUUGUAACAAAAUGGAGUUCAUCCUCGAUGGUUACAUUUUUGAAUAUCGUGAUAAAAAUAAGGAUUAUCACCACUUAUCAGAAAUUAAUCUCACCGGAGGUGAUUAUGUCGUCGAAACUGUAAAUCAAGACCUAUUUUAUAUGUGUAAACAAAUUUACCAAGCAGGAUAUUGGGGUAAGCUUUUACGCGUCUUUAUUUCUAUAGCAUUGCUGAGUGCUUAUUUAAUCAUGAAUUUUAAUAAACGAUAUUUGGAAAUUUUCUCAAACCACAUUUUGUACGUUUACUCAAUAGGAUCGAUAGUAAUGAGUGUAUUGCUUACCUACAUCUAUCUGGAAUUCCCAGUUUCCAAUGUUUCUUUCUAUCUCGCUAAAAUUUUCUGGUCUUAUCACUUUAUCUGGACGAUGUUAAUUUUUAUUGUAUUUUGUAAUCUAGCGUUCUGCUUGUGCAUUCGGUGGGAAGAUAUAACCAAAGGGAAUACAAAUGUACAUUAUUAUUCAUUAUUUCUUUUCGUUUUUUUCGUCGUAUUACCCGUAUUCUUACCUCUAAUGUAUCUCAACUUCUUAGAAACUUAUGAAAAUAAUUGCCCUUUAAUUCAUGGGCAUAUGGCUGUGCUAGACGUUGUACCUCCUGGAAAUUUAGAGUAUAUGAAAUUAUUCUUAAAUGCGAUCUUAUCUUGGUUAAUGCCUAUUAUAUUUUUUCCUGCGAUAAUUUGCAUACUGAUUGAUAUGUCAUGUAGUAAUCCUGAUGAAGUGAGAUCUGCAACACCGUCCAGAGGAAAAUCUCCGAUUUUUUUUCUCAAAAUGUUGUUGAUUAUGGGUUUCCAUUUUGUACUGUAUUUACUUUGCUCAGGGUAUUAUAGGAAUGAAAAUACGUACACUGUUAUUGGUCUAUCCAUAAAUAUGGACACCGUGGCACAGCUCAGUAUUGAUUUUCACGGUGUGCUUGUAUUUUUUGUUUUCUUAACUGAGAAUACUUGGAUUAAUGAUAUUUUGAUAAAGCAUGGAUAUAAACAGGGAAAUACUACUCAACAGAAUUGUAAUGGUGCGACAGAAACAACCGUACAAUUUCAGUCUUGAUGUGAGACUGAAGUCAUGUUUUUCUCAUAAGUACAAAGUUUUUAUUUCCAGUACUUGAUAAGUAUUUUAUAGUUACCUACUGAGUAGGUACAUUUUAUUUUAAGUAAAAAUGUAAUGCCAUGAAGAUGAAUAUAAGAAGAUUUUGAAAAAUUGAAUACCUAGGUAUGUACCUAAUUCUACCACACAGUGAAACCAUUUUUGGAGCCUGAUUAAAACUGAACAGUGUACCUGAAAAAAAAAACUUUCUAAAAUGAUCUCUUGAUAAAUUUCACAGUUUUUCAAAUUACGUACGCUGUGGUGUGGAAGAUUUUUGAAUUUAAAUAACCACUCUUCAAUCAUGAAUUUUUCGAAAUGUUACUGUCUAAAAUAAUUUUCAAACAAUUUUAAGAGCUUUUUUCAGACUUGAAGAUUAUAAAAUAAAAAUGUACUCACGUAUUUGUUUUAAGACACUUUGCAAUAUUCAUUUGGGUGAUAUUUUUGUACUUACCUAUGUAAGGAUUUUUAUGUAUACCUACUCGUAUUUUUGAUUUUAGGUACAUAAUUUUAUUUUAUUGUAGUUUUCUAUUUUUUUUACUUUUUUACAAAUACAUGCGAUUUCUUUUAA
Long non-coding RNA from Planococcus citri (citrus mealybug), 2791 nucleotides. RefSeq lists it as uncharacterized. NCBI's taxonomy places the organism in Eukaryota, Metazoa, Arthropoda, Insecta, Hemiptera, Pseudococcidae. The transcript has 2 exons. The record is from RefSeq and is a predicted model, not a curated record.